GCCUUACCGUCUGGAAAAGCGCGUCUCUUCCUAUUUCCCACGGAGACAAACCCGGCACUGCGGCUGCACCGCCCUCACCUGUAAGAAGUGGAAUUAAUGAAAACUGAAGUGUUUCUCUGAUGCCAUUUCUGUGCUAACUUCUCAGCUACAAGCUCCAGCCAGAGAGUUUACAUUGAAGUACAAUGACAUUGAUUCAGAGGUGAA
Non-coding RNA from Chiloscyllium plagiosum (whitespotted bambooshark), 204 nucleotides. NCBI's taxonomy places the organism in Eukaryota, Metazoa, Chordata, Chondrichthyes, Orectolobiformes, Hemiscylliidae. The record is from RefSeq and is a predicted model, not a curated record.